RNAcentral lists this ribosomal RNA (450 nucleotides) under Olsenella uli. Its description in RNAcentral is "bacterial SSU rRNA". It matches the Rfam family "Bacterial small subunit ribosomal RNA", at positions 28 to 488 of the family's 1533-position model. Lineage: Bacteria; Bacillati; Actinomycetota; Coriobacteriia; Coriobacteriales; Atopobiaceae. The record is from RNAcentral.
GAUGAACGCUGGCGGCGCGCCUAACACAUGCAAGUCGAACGGUUAAAGCCCCUUCGGGGGUGCAUAAAGUGGCGAACGGCUGAGUAACACGUGGGCAACCUGCCCCUCGCACCGGGACAGCCUCGGGAAACCGUGGUUAAUACCGGAUACUCCCGCGCCCCCGCAUGGGGGCGCGGGGAAAGCCCAGACGGCGAGGGAUGGGCCCGCGGCCUGUUAGCUCGUUGGCGGGGUAACGGCCCACCAAGGCGAUGAUGGGUAGCCGGGUUGAGAGACCGACCGGCCAGAUUGGGACUGAGACACGGCCCAGACUCCUACGGGAGGCAGCAGUGGGGAAUCUUGCGCAAUGGGCGGAAGCCUGACGCAGCGACGCCGCGUGCGGGAAGGAGGCCUUCGGGUCGUAAACCGCUUUCAGCAGGGACGAGGCCGCGAGGUGACGGUACCUGCAGAAGA